Molecule: long non-coding RNA, 105 nt
Organism: Ipomoea nil (Japanese morning glory)
Lineage: Eukaryota; Viridiplantae; Streptophyta; Magnoliopsida; Solanales; Convolvulaceae
Exons: 3
Source: RefSeq, a predicted model, not a curated record
GGGCACGAUGUCAACUGUUCUUAGAAGAUCCAAUUAGACGUCCAGUAGCAUAUGGGACAGCUUACAGUGGUGGACAGGUUCAUGGGGUUACACUAAAUGUACAUU